GAUCGCAGAACGAUUUGUUGUUCUUUUCCAACUCGAUUUUUAACUCCCUAGACUAGUAGGAUGUUCCAGCGGGUGAAGCAACAGUGCUGACGGCAGAGUUUCAGUGUCAAUUUUUCAUGCCAUGAUCACUGGGGCGGAAACCAUUAUGACGUUGCCUUGGACAUCAAACUAAACCAUCUCAUUCUGGCUUUUUUCUAACAUCGAAAUCUCAGAAGGCCAGGACUAAGAUGGACGCAGCCUCCACAUGCAACCUUGCAUUUGAGGAACACCCAUAGAACGGUCAACUUACCCCAUACUCUAACCUGAAUGCAGGGAUCAUAAAACUUUAUCUUUUACCUUAAUUGUUAGAUGGGUGUUGAUACCAAACUUUUUUGUCUCGUCUACCCAGGAGAAAGUCAUGGGUUCUGCUGCUGAGGUUGUCAUAAAGCAUGCUUUUUCCAUUUGUUGCAUUGGGCAAUAUUAUCAAAAGAUUCUGAAAGAAAUAAGAUAAUUUUCAAAGCAUUAACAUGAAUAUGAAAGCAUUAAGUCAUUAAUGACCAUCUUUUAUUAUUGUUUAUUUAUAGUGUCUUUUAUUCUGCUUACCUGACUCAUGCAGAAUUCUGGCUUGAUGUUUGGUCCACCUGUUAGCUGGCUCUGGUGCUUGGUAGUCUUCUCAAACCUCUGAAUCAAGGCCACCAUGAGAGGCCUUCUGAAGACCAUCAUUACGCUUCAGAUCCAGUUGUCUUAACUAUGAGAUAGAACUGAACUGGAGUCUGUGAACUAAUGCUGUGUUCGAGACAACUGGAACAGCAAACAAAGUAAAGUAUCCGACCUCUCAACUUGUGACUGAUCGAUCAGCACCAACCUCAACGAGAUGCAUCAUUUGACAUUGCAGACAAGAUCCUUUCUCUUUUUAAUGCAGCACUUAAGGAUGAACCACCCUGAUCUACUAAGAUGCACAGAUUCAACUCUGGCCCAGCAUCAUCCCCACACCUCAUCUGCCAUCAGUUUAAUUUAAUGUCUGUCAAUUGCAAAUGCUAUUUAUUUCAGUU
Non-coding RNA from Paramisgurnus dabryanus, 1031 nucleotides. The record is from RefSeq and is a predicted model, not a curated record. Lineage: Eukaryota; Metazoa; Chordata; Actinopteri; Cypriniformes; Cobitidae.